Molecule: long non-coding RNA, 1783 nt
Filed under: Equus asinus (donkey)
Lineage: Eukaryota; Metazoa; Chordata; Mammalia; Perissodactyla; Equidae
Description: lncRNA (ENSEASG00005025563.1)
Source: RNAcentral
GCGGCCCCGCGCGCCCGAGCGCCGCCUGGAGGCCUAGGGGAGGGGCAGCCGUGGCCCCGGCCCCUGUGGUCCCCGCCGCCCGCGCGUGUCGUCGUCCCCGGACCUGGGGCGCCACUCGGGGCCGAGUCACACCCGAAUGUCUCCGUUCACACGCACCGCAAGCCCGAGUUCCCUGCCCGCACCGACCGUUCCGAGGCACCCCAGAUCCCACUCCGAGCCCGAGCUGUCCCUUGCGUCUCAGUCACCCCCAAGUGUCACCAGCUCAGGUCCCAGUCACCUCCAAAUGCCCCGCGUUUCCCUCAGCGUCACCCACCCCCACCUCGGACUGGGCUCCAACCUCCUCGCCCCAGGCACAGAGCGUCCCCAUUGUGACUGCGUCUAGGUCCCUCUCCCUGUCACCUCAUCGGCCCGAGAGUCAGUUCCUCCAGCCCGGGGUUUCCCUCGGGGUCGCUGCCCAACUCCAGCGUACCCCUCAAGGUCACCUUUCCACCCUCUCCACCCACGUGACUCAAUUGCCGCCUUCCAGAGAACAGAAUGGGCCUGAAAGCAGGGAGUUGGUCUUCGUUAUGAGGCUCUGAGCCGUAUCCCCAGCCACCUCGCCUUUGGCCUGCAGACACCGCCGCAGACCCUGGCCUGCUCUCCGUGCUCAAGCCUGGCACCUUCCAGCCGUCCUCCAGAAAGGCCUGUGUCAUCCCAUCACAUGUGCCCUCCACCGUCCACUAAACAAAGUUCCUCCCUGGUCCCCACCUCGGCCACAAGGCCCCAGGUGUGGUCAGAUCGCCACUUCUCUCCAACCUGACUUUCACACUCGCCUGCUUGACUUGCGAGCAUCCUUCAAAUCCUAAGCGUCACCUCCUCCAGGAAGCCUUCCUUGCCUUCCACAUGACCCUCUGACUUGAGACUCCCCGGGAACCUGCACUCGUCUGCCUCCCCACUCAGACACUGCACGGACUGACUUGAUCAUUUGAGUCAAAUGAACAUUUCUUAAACGACACAAAGGUGACCCCUUGCCAGGCAGCAGGUCACUUCCCUGACAGAGGCCAGGUGGGGGCAUGUGCUGCCCACUCCACCCUGGUGCUGGUACCCACUCUGUUCCCCUCCCCACAGGGUCUGGGGCCCUGGGCGGCCCUUCGUGCAGCCUUCUGAGGGCUCCCAUGGGCAGCUUGGUGGGGACCUUCAUGGGGUCCUGGACAGUCCAAAGGGAGGGAGGUGAUGCUGGCUCCUGGGGAACCCUCUCCCUGGCCUCGGAGAGCCUGGCAGUCUGGGAGGGGGCCUGGCACAGCCUCUGGAGGGCACGGCCCUCCGUGGACAACCCCCAAGGAGCCAUGGGGCCCCUACCGCACCCUUACACCUCCUGGCCACCUCCAGCUGGACUGUCACCCCCACGCUGGAGACUCCCACAGACAGGACCGCCACCAGGAGGGGGCAUGUCUGGCUGGGAGGGGCCCGGGAGCCUAAGUCACCCUGACUGGGUUCAAGCUUGGUGCUCUGCCUUCUCUGGCAAAGAAUUUUUCCUUUCUGGGACUCAGUUUCCCCAUCUGUAAAAUAGGAAUUCAUACCAGGGACCCAUGCGAGGGCUAUUGUGAACCUGAAAUGAGUCGAUAUACACAGGCACGUAGGCGGUAGAACAGCCUGAAACACGGAACGUGCUCCUAAGGGUGAGCUCCUCUGACUGCGGGGCGCGCGCGGGACGGCGAAAGCCAAAAUCCAGCCCCACAGCUCUCCGGACGCCCCCACCCCAGGCCGGCUCCCCAAGCCCCUCUCGGACAAUGGUUUCGGCCCC